UAGCCAGGUCAGCCUUGGUGAGUGGAA
RNAcentral lists this non-coding RNA (27 nucleotides) under Homo sapiens (human). Lineage: Eukaryota; Metazoa; Chordata; Mammalia; Primates; Hominidae. The record is from RNAcentral.